AAGCUCGUAGUUGAAUUUCGAAUGUGGCUGGGCGGUCCGCCUCACGGUGUGUACUGUCUGGCUGUGUUCUCUUUCUUGGUGAGCCGGCAUGCCCCUUUACUGGGUGUGUUGGGGAACCAGGACGUUUACCUUGAGAAAAUUAGAGUGUUCAAAGCAGGCCUACGCCCGAAUACAUUAGCAUGGCAUAAUAAAAUAGGACGUGCGGUUCUAUUUUGUUGGUUUCUAGAGCCGCAGUAAUGAUUAAUAGGGAUAGUUGGG
Molecule: ribosomal RNA, 258 nt
Filed under: uncultured Basidiomycota
Lineage: Eukaryota; Fungi; Basidiomycota
Description: partial 18S ribosomal RNA
Rfam family: Eukaryotic small subunit ribosomal RNA
Source: RNAcentral